UCCGGUGUUCGGCGAGUCGGGUAGUUUGAGAUUGCUGCCUCAAUGGGUGGUAGAUUUCAUCCAAAGCUAAAUACGGGUGGGAGACCGAUAGCGAACAAGUACCGUGAGGGAAAGGUGAAAAGAACUUUGGAAAGAGAGUUAAAAGCGCUUGAAAUCGUCGAAAGGGAAGCGAACGGGAUCGGCCACGGUCGG
This 192-nucleotide ribosomal RNA is filed under the name uncultured Ochromonas. RNAcentral's name for it is "partial Eukaryotic large subunit ribosomal RNA". It matches the Rfam family "Eukaryotic large subunit ribosomal RNA", at positions 249 to 442 of the family's 3401-position model. Lineage: Eukaryota; Chrysophyceae; Chromulinales; Chromulinaceae. The record is from RNAcentral.